CAAGGGGUAUUUUAUGUAAAAUAUUAGUUUUGGGGAUUAGUGAAAUGGUUUGUUGCCUUUCCCUUGA
RNAcentral lists this transfer RNA (67 nucleotides) under Sphaerotermes sp. A TB-2017. RNAcentral's name for it is "tRNA-Pro". The record is from RNAcentral. Lineage: Eukaryota; Metazoa; Arthropoda; Insecta; Blattodea; Termitidae.